This 318-nucleotide unclassified non-coding RNA is filed under the name Hevea brasiliensis (rubber tree). Lineage: Eukaryota; Viridiplantae; Streptophyta; Magnoliopsida; Malpighiales; Euphorbiaceae. The record is from RNAcentral.
GCAUUUUACCACCAACAUUGUCAAAAUAUACAUCAAUUCCAUUCGGAAAAUAUUUGGUUAAUGCAGCAUCAUAAUCUGUCUCAAUACGGUAAUUAAAAGCUUCAUCAUACCCACACUCCUCUUUCAACAACUUGACCUUAUGAUCGGAGCCUACACUUCCGACAACUCGACAACCUUUAACUUUAGCUAGCUGUCCAGCUAUGAUUCCAACUCCUCCUGCUGCAGCCGAUAUAUAAACAUUUGAUCCCUCUUUAGCAUUUCCAAUUUUUUCUAUGCCCACCCACGCUGUUAUUCCAGGCAUUCCUAAGCAACUAAGAU